Molecule: long non-coding RNA, 1490 nt
Filed under: Sorghum bicolor (sorghum)
Lineage: Eukaryota; Viridiplantae; Streptophyta; Magnoliopsida; Poales; Poaceae
Description: long non-coding RNA (SBIC_LNC012760)
Source: RNAcentral
AACCUACGCCCUUUACAAGGUUGGCAGAUUCCUAUCUGAAACUACAAUUUUCGCACUAAUUACUUUAAAGAAUACGCAACUAAAUGUAAACCAAAGUUUUGUGUUCCUCCUUCAUAUCAUAUCAUAUUAGCUGUUACCUUUAGCUUUUGAACUCCAUUUUUCAUACCUCCCAUCAUUUUAUCCUAGGUGGCUAAAUUUGUGCAGUGGUUGCAAAUUAGAUUUGCCAUAAUGGUUGGAAAUAUAUUUCUCAUCCAGCCUAAGUAUGGCACAUGCAUUGAUUUUUAGUAGUGAGCAAUGAGUAGUACUGUUUUCAAUAUCAGGAUCAUUUGAUGCUUUUUAACUAAAAAAAGCGGCAAUCAUCUGUGGUACAAUGUCUAAAUGCAUUCAUUUGUAAGCCAAGUGGAGUUUCUGCUAAUUUGACAGGAGUACCAUGAACCCCAAGUUUAGAAAAUGAGUUGUGUCUACUUUGUUGAACAAAAGCAAUGAGAUUAUUUUUGCUGGGACAGCCUCAGGAAUCCUCGCCUGCAUCUUGGUGGCCCGCAUCUUGGGGACCUGUUCCUUGGUGCCAGUGAGGUCAGUCAAUAAGUCUAUGGUUUUGAUCUGUACUUGCAUUGUUGAGAUUAUGCUCUUGAUGUAUCAAAAUGUGUUUUUCCUCUUAACAAAAAAUGUGUAAGCAAUAAUCGCCUCGUGUCUAAUCAUCCAUAGUUUGUGUGAGUUCAAAAGGAAAUAUGUUGUAGUUUAGUUUAGAGCAACAAUUUAGUUGGCAAGUGACAAUGCAACUUGCAGUAUUCUCUAACUCACUGAACUCAUUUCAGUGGAGUUUUUACUUCACUGAUGAUCCCUGAUUUUUUUGUAAUAAAAAUGUUAUCACUGCAUAUUUUCUGCCUCUUUUAUAACUGUAAAUUGGUUCUAUCGUCUAACCAACAAGACUUAUGUCAGUAUAGAACUUCGAUAUUCAGAGUUCGCCUAUUUUGAAUUGUUGCUACCAAGUGAUUGAUUUGCUGUAAUUUUAUGGUUCGCACCUGCCAGGUUUAGGUGCCAGUUUUACUUCACAUGUUAGUCUUUGGGUUUCUGUAGUUACUUUGCAUUAAGACUUCAUCGCAUAAGAAAUAUACUUGCAUAGCUAUCUUUCAUAUUCUUCAACUAAUGGUUACCGUAUUAUACAAGUGGUUGAAUUGUGGGUACACUCAAUGGAAAAUAGUGCCUCUCAUACACCAUUGGGUGACAAGACUAACACUACUAAUAGAGGUAACCAAAAUAGAAGAGGAAUUAUUAUAUAUUAUUCAGUGUAUUGUUUAUAUUAUAUAAAUGAUAAUCAAUAAUAUAUGGAUGUAACAAUGCAGGAAGCGAUGUUGCACAACACAGGAAAGAAAGGGAUAAGGCUCGAUGGCACGCAAUGUCGCAAGAGAAAAAAGACGAAAAAAAUAAAAAACGUCGUGAAGCAUAUAAAAGAAGAAAGGAGCAACAACUAUGGAUCGAAACUACCGAUG